RNAcentral lists this transfer RNA (77 nucleotides) under Silvibacterium sp. RNAcentral's name for it is "tRNA-Arg". It matches the Rfam family "tRNA". Rfam says of the family: Transfer RNA (tRNA) molecules are approximately 80 nucleotides in length. Their secondary structure includes four short double-helical elements and three loops (D, anti-codon, and T loops). Lineage: Bacteria; Pseudomonadati; Acidobacteriota; Terriglobia; Terriglobales; Acidobacteriaceae. RNAcentral also lists the same sequence under 6 other names. The record is from RNAcentral.
GCGCCCGUAGCUCAGUUGGAUAGAGCGCCUGGCUACGAACCAGGAGGUCGGGAGUUCGAAUCUCUCCGGGCGCGCCA